Molecule: ribosomal RNA, 1499 nt
Filed under: metagenome
Description: bacterial SSU rRNA
Rfam family: Bacterial small subunit ribosomal RNA
Source: RNAcentral
GAGGUUGAUCAUGGCUCAGAUUGAACGCUGGCGGCAGGCCUAACACAUGCAAGUCGAACGGUAACAGGAAGAAGCUUGCUUCUUUGCUGACGAGUGGCGGACGGGUGAGUAAUGUCUGGGAAACUGCCUGAUGGAGGGGGAUAACUACUGGAAACGGUAGCUAAUACCGCAUAACGUCGCAAGACCAAAGAGGGGGACCUUCGGGCCUCUUGCCAUCGGAUGUGCCCAGAUGGGAUUAGCUAGUAGGUGGGGUAACGGCUCACCUAGGCGACGAUCCCUAGCUGGUCUGAGAGGAUGACCAGCCACACUGGAACUGAGACACGGUCCAGACUCCUACGGGAGGCAGCAGUGGGGAAUAUUGCACAAUGGGCGCAAGCCUGAUGCAGCCAUGCCGCGUGUAUGAAGAAGGCCUUCGGGUUGUAAAGUACUUUCAGCGGGGAGGAAGGGAGUAAAGUUAAUACCUUUGCUCUUUGACGUUACCCGCAGAAGAAGCACCGGCUAACUCCGUGCCAGCAGCCGCGGUAAUACGGAGGGUGCAAGCGCUAAUCGGAAUUACUGGGCGUAAAGCGCACGCAGGCGGUUUGUUAAGUCAGAUGUGAAAUCCCCGGGCUCAACCUGGGAACUGCAUCUGAUACUGGCAAGCUUGAGUCUCGUAGAGGGGGGUAGAAUUCCAGGUGUAGCGGUGAAAUGCGUAGAGAUCUGGAGGAAUACCGGUGGCGAAGGCGGCCCCCUGGACGAAGACUGACGCUCAGGUGCGAAAGCGUGGGGAGCAAACAGGAUUAGAUACCCUGGUAGUCCACGCCGUAAACGAUGUCGACUUGGAGGUUGUGCCCUUGAGGCGUGGCUUCCGGAGCUAACGCGUUAAGUCGACCGCCUGGGGAGUACGGCCGCAAGGUUAAAACUCAAAUGAAUUGACGAGGGCCCGCACAAGCGGUGGAGCAUGUGGUUUAAUUCGAUGCAACGCGAAGAACCUUACCUGGUCUUGACAUCCACGGAAGUUUUCAGAGAUGAGAAUGUGCCUUCGGGAACCGUGAGACAGGUGCUGCAUGGCUGUCGUCAGCUCGUGUUGUGAAAUGUCGGGUUAAGUCCCGCAACGAGCGCAACCCUUAUCCUUUGUUGCCAGCGGUCCGGCCGGGAACUCAAAGGAGACUGCCAGUGAUAAACUGGAGGAAGGUGGGGAUGACGUCAAGUCAUCAUGGCCCUUACGACCAGGGCUACACACGUGCUACAAUGGCGCAUACAAAGAGAAGCGACCUCGCGAGAGCAAGCGGACCUCAUAAAGUGCGUCGUAGUCCGGAUUGGAGUCUGCAACUCGACUCCAUGAAGUCGGAAUCGCUAGUAAUCGUGGAUCAGAAUGCCACGGUGAAUACGUUCCCGGGCCUUGUACACACCGCCCGUCACACCAUGGGAGUGGGUUGCAAAAGAAGUAGGUAGCUUAACCUUCGGGAGGGCGCUUACCACUUUGUGAUUCAUGACUGGGGUGAAGUCGUAACGAGGUA